RNAcentral lists this ribosomal RNA (468 nucleotides) under uncultured bacterium. RNAcentral describes it as "partial 16S ribosomal RNA". It matches the Rfam family "Bacterial small subunit ribosomal RNA", at positions 28 to 507 of the family's 1533-position model. The record is from RNAcentral.
GACGAACGCUGGCGGCGUGCUUAACACAUGCAAGUCGAACGGAAAGGCCCUUCUUUUGUGGUGUGCUCGAGUGGCGAACGGGUGAGUAACACGUGAGUAACCUUCCCUUGACUUUGGGUUAACUUCAGGAAACUGGGUCUAAUACCGGAUAGGUGCUCCUGCUGCAUGGUGGGGGUUUGAAAGUUUCGGCGGUUGGGGAUGGACUUGCGGCUUAUCAGCUUGUUGGUGGGGUAGUGGCUGACCAAGGCUUUGACGGGUAGCCGGCCUGAGAGGGUGACCGGCCACAUUGGGACUGAGAUACGGCCCAGACUCCUACGGGAGGCAGCAGUGGGGAAUAUUGCACAAUGGGCGGAAGCCUGAUGCAGCAACGCCGCGUGCGGGAUGAAGGCCUGCGGGUUGUAAACCGCUUUCGCCUGUGACGAAGCGUGAGUGACGGUAAUGGGUAAAGAAGCACCGGCUAACUACGUG